RNAcentral lists this ribosomal RNA (253 nucleotides) under uncultured bacterium. RNAcentral's name for it is "partial 16S ribosomal RNA". It matches the Rfam family "Bacterial small subunit ribosomal RNA", at positions 524 to 776 of the family's 1533-position model. The record is from RNAcentral.
UACGUAGGGGGCAAGCGUUGUCCGGAAUCAUUGGGCGUAAAGAGCGCGUAGGCGGUCCGGUAAGUCCGCUCUGAAAGUCCGGGGCUCAACCCCGGGAAGCGGGCGGAUACUGUCGGGCUAGAGUCCGGAAGAGGCGAGUGGAAUUCCUGGUGUAGCGGUGAAAUGCGCAGAUAUCAGGAGGAACACCGAUGGCGAAGGCAGCUCGCUGGGACGGUACUGACGCUGAGGCGCGAAAGCGUGGGGAGCAAACAGG